UACGUAGGGACCGAGCGUUGUCCGGAAUCAUUGGGCGUAAAGAGCGUGUAGGCGGCUUGCUAAGUCUUGCGUGAAAUCUCGGGGCUCAACCCCGAGCGGUCGUGGGAAACUGGCAGGCUAGAGUGCGGGAGAGGAGAAUGGAAUUCCUGGUGUAGCGGUGAAAUGCGCAGAUAUCAGGAAGAACACCCGUGGCGAAGGCGGCUUUCUGGGACGGUACUGACGCUGAGACGCGAAAGCGUGGGGAGCGAACAGG
This 253-nucleotide ribosomal RNA is filed under the name uncultured bacterium. Its description in RNAcentral is "partial 16S ribosomal RNA". It matches the Rfam family "Bacterial small subunit ribosomal RNA", at positions 524 to 776 of the family's 1533-position model. The record is from RNAcentral.